AUUUUCCAACAAGUUGCAUUAUCAUUCAUAUUGCAUUCUACCUUUUCAAUUCUCCAACAAUCUUAAAAUUCUUGCUAUUUUUCUAAUUCUCUAAAGUUUUUAAAAGCAUUUUCUUUAUAAGAUAUGCAUCCGUCAAAUGUAUACGUACAUCCGGUCCAGUAGAGCAUGAUGUAUUAAAAAUUCAAGUUCAUCAUCGUUCCGAAGGAAUUUGGAAUGGUAGCAUAAAAGAAGAGAGGUCUUGCUUAUAUACGCUUCGUGGUGAUAUUAAAUUUUGGCAACAUAUAAAAUAUCAUCCAUUAUAUUCUCGCAUCCAUCAAUAUUUUAAAAAUUGUAGAUUUAAAGGAAUUCUUGAUGUAGGAUGUGUGUCGUGCGACUCCGGAUUAAUUUCUGCUUUAAUUGAAAGGUGGCGUCCAGAAACUCAUACUUUUCACAUGCGAACUAACGAGGCUACCAUAACUUUACAUGAUAUUGAAAUUUUAUUCGGAAUGGUAGUAGAUGAUAGUCGUAUAAUUUUAAAUGGAGCUGAUUCUUUAGGGAUUAUAGGUAGACAGAAAUGACAUUUGAAUUAACAUGAUGGUUACCCGAUACUAGUUGUUUUUCUGGUUUUAGUAGAUUGUUAACAUAUAAAUUGAUUGAUUAUAUCGAAGGUUUGGAUGGUAUUAAUGAUAACUCAACUGAGCAUAAAGUUCAACAAAGAUUUAGAUUAUAUUUAUUAUGGUUAUGUGGUGGAUCAAUAUUUUCGGAUAAAUCUAAUAAUAAGAUUAAUUUGGACAUUUUGAUUGACAUGAGAAAUUAAGAUUUAUUGUCAACUCAAGCAUGGGGAUCAGCCGCAUUUUCAUAUUUGUAUAAUUGUUUAUGCCGUGCAUCAAUGAAAAAAUCAAAUGAAGUUUGUGGAUUUCUCUCUUUAGUGCAGAUUUGGGCAUGAGAAAGAAUUAUUCCCCUGCAACCAUUGCCAAAGCCUCUAAGGACCAAUCAACUUGAGGUUUCAACUGCGCUUGCACGUAAAUGGACGCGACGUAGAAAUCAUCAAAAUGAGGCACAAACUGUAAUAUGUGUGAUUAGGGAUGUACUAGAUAAUUUAACUGAUGAACAGGUAUUUAAUAUUAUUAGUAUCUUAAACUAUUCAUUUUCACGUACAUAUUUUUUUUCUGUCAAUGUUGUUUUUAUAAUUAUCUUACUUAAUUAUUUUUUUAUAGUUUAUUUGGCAACCUUAUUCGGAAGAUGUUAUUAAUGGAUUGCCUGAGUGGUGUCGGUCAGGACAACGUGUCUGGAUGGCACAGGUGCCACUGAUUUAUGAAAUUUAUCGUGAGUGGCACAUGGUUGAUCGUGUUGUGAGACAGUUUGGUUAUUUACAACAUAUUCCUGGACCGUGUACCCAAUUUGUCGAAUAUCAUUUUAAGUGUGAUAAACGAUCCAAAAUAAAACAAGAAGAUAUAGAUGCAUUUAAUUACACACAAUAUUUAUGGGAACAACGUCAAAAUCGUAUAUUUCGACCUCCAUUUGUAAGUGAUCAAACCGAUUACUUUCGUUGGUAAUGAGGCAUACCCGCAUGGUCAUUGGAAAUCCACAACAUGUUGUACAAAAAGGGUAUCAACACAUGGCAGGAAGACAUGAGACAUUAGCUAGGGGUCAUGAAAUGCAGUAUCGUCGAGCUCGGAUGAUUGAAAAUGAUGAAAAUCAAUCUAAUGAAAUGAGACAAUAUGCAGAGGAAGUCGCUCGUAUUUCAAUGGAGUCAAUGAAUGCGGACUUUCAGGGAACGUGGUUGAGCUUUGAUCCUGAUUACAAUCCUCCCACUCAAUACGAUGAACCAUCACCAGUACAAGUAUCUCGCCGAUCAAGACAAACAAUACCGAGAGAGGGUGCACGUCGAGGUAGAAGGGUCGCUGGUGAAACAAUUGAUUUUUUCUGCAGGGCCCUCUAACACUAAUGUGGCGACUGCCGAGCCUUAUUAUCCCACGUUUGAUUUUUCUACAGGGCCCUCUAACACUAAUGUUAAUUUUUCUAGUCAGCAAACAGUUGGUUUUGUAACUCCACAUGUUCCAAUAUCUGGUUUUGCGCAAUUUAGUGGAUCUCAAUAUGGUAUUCAACAUGGUAUGCGUGAAUUUCCUAUACAUAAUUCUCCAUUUGGUGGAAGAUUGAAUUUUUCGAAUGUAACUGUGUCCGAUGAUUCAAGAUUUAAUGUUGGGGCUUCACAAAAUUUAGUUCUUAAUAGACAAAAUCCACCUUGGAGAACAUCUAGGCUAAAAAAAUCAACUAGAUGUGGAACAUGCAGUUGUUGGGUUUUAUUUGCCCUGAUUUCUUACCAUAAAUAGGUUUUCUUUUUAGGAAAAGGUUUUGGAUUGACUAAUCCUUUUUCUGUUAGGAAAAGGUUUAUGACUCUAUAAAUAGAGGAAUGUUCCUUCUAACUUAAUCAACAUUCACAAUGUAGAGUUAAGGGCUUUGAGAGUUUUGGUUCGGGGGAGAAUGUGUGGAUUACAAGUUUGAUACGUUAUCACUUGUGUGAACCUCCCAUGUAUUCCGAGUGAAUUGGUUGAGGUUGUUUCUCUCUGUAUUUU
Non-coding RNA from Solanum lycopersicum (tomato), 2555 nucleotides. The record is from RefSeq and is a predicted model, not a curated record. Lineage: Eukaryota; Viridiplantae; Streptophyta; Magnoliopsida; Solanales; Solanaceae.